RNAcentral lists this transfer RNA (56 nucleotides) under Syphacia muris. Its description in RNAcentral is "tRNA-Cys". Lineage: Eukaryota; Metazoa; Nematoda; Chromadorea; Rhabditida; Oxyuridae. The record is from RNAcentral.
AGGGUUUUAGUAUAAUGUAGUAUGAUAAAUUGCAAAUUUAUUGGUUAUAAAUCUUU